This 913-nucleotide ribosomal RNA is filed under the name uncultured archaeon. RNAcentral's name for it is "bacterial SSU rRNA". It matches the Rfam family "Archaeal small subunit ribosomal RNA", at positions 4 to 921 of the family's 1478-position model. The record is from RNAcentral.
CUGGUUGAUCCUGCCAGAGGUUACUGCUAUCGGGGUCCGAUUAAGCCACGCGAGUUGAGAGGGGUAAGCCCUCGGCAUACUGCUCAGUAACACGCGGACAACCUGCCCUUGGGUCUGGGAUAACCCCGGGAAACUGGGACUAAUACCGGAUAGAUCAGAGAUACUGGAAUGUUUUCUGGUUCAAAACUCCGGUGCCCAAGGAUGGGUCUGCGGCCUAUCAGGUAGUAGUGGGUGUAACGUACCUACUAGCCAGCGACGGGUAAGGGUUGUGAGAGCAAGAUCCCUGAGAUGGAUUCUGAGACAUGAAUCCAGGCCCUACGGGGUGCAGCAGGCGCGAAAACUUUACACUGCGGGAAACCGCGAUAAGGGGACCCCGAGUGCCAGCACCUAGUGCUGGCUGUCCUACUGUCUAAAUAACAGUGGUUAGCAAGGGCCGGGCAAGACCGGUGCCAGCCGCCGCGGUAACACCGGCGGCCCGAGUGGUAACCGACUUUAUUGGGUUUAAAGGGUCCGUAGCCGGCUUACUAAGUCUUUUGGGAAAUCUGGCGGCUCAAUCGUCAGGCGUCCAAGAGAUACUGGUAGGCUUGGGACCGGGAGAGGUGGGAGGUACUCCAGGGGUAGGGGUGAAAUCUCGUAAUCCUUGGGGGACCACCGAUGGCGAAGGCAUCCCACCAGAACGGGUCCGACGGUGAGGGACGAAAGCUGGGGGCACGAACCGGAUUAGAUACCCGGGUAGUCCCAGCUGUAAACGAUGCUCGCUAGGUGUCAGGUGCGGUGCGACCGCAUCUGGUGCCGCAGUGAAAACUUGAAGCGAGUCACCUGGGAAGUACGGUCGCAAGGCUGAAACUUAAAGGAAUUGGCGGGGGAGCACUACAACGGGUGGAGCCUGCGGUUCAAUUGGAUUCAACGCCGG